AUCACCCAUCAGUCUUUCUGUGGGGAAGAUUACUGGACUGCUCUGCCGGAUGAAAUUCUGCAGACGUUUAGCCCACGGGAGCUAGCUGCAUUGCAUGCAAGGUGCGUCCAGGUAGGAUUUGUACUGGGAAUCCGACGCACACCCCAGUCGCUGGACUGUCACGGUCAGGGCUGAUUAGGGAAGGUGUCAGGGACCUUGCGGUCUAACACUGUAAAGCAGCCAAGACUGAGAGGCCAGGGCUUCUCCUCCCACUCUGCUGGUGUUCCACUAAUUGCAGCUCUCCCUAAUUAAAAGUCAGUGAUGUGGCUUUGGCAGCUGCAAGCCAGGUCCCCCAGGCGAGCCCUGGGCAGAGGCUGGGUGGCAGGGAAGGAUGGGUUCAUGCCUGGAGCCCAGCACGCUCCCUGCCAAGCCAUGGUCGGAUGCCGCAGAGGAGCCAAGCAUCCAGGAGAGUCCUCAAAAUGAGGAAUGAAAUCAGAGCCAACCUUGCCAGGGACAUGGGGCAGCCGGGGGAUGCUCCGGCCCUGAGCCGUUGUGCUGAGCUGGAGUGAAAUGCUCCGUGGCAGCUGCAAAGUUGCUUUCCAGGUAGCAACAGUGAGUCUCUGCUAACAACAGGGCUCUGCGAGCUGGGGCUCUGCGGCAGAGGUAGCAAAUCCCACGACAGACUUGUGUGAGCUGGCAACACUCUGUCUCUCCCAGGGGAAAAGAAGGGCCAGCUCGCUGCCAGGCACUUAAAAUAAGACAAAGUAAAAGCUGAUGAUCUUUAGAAGUGCAGUUUCCUGUUGGCUUGUUGGUUGCUGAUCUAACAGCUCUUUCUCCUUCCUUAUUUCCAUGUGAGGAGAACUCGGUUUUGGUUCAGGUGUGUCUUCCCAUGGGAUAAUAAUCUCUCCAAGCAAAGUCAUCCUAAGGAAAGCCAGGAGCAUCCAAACGCCAGCACGAAUGUAUAAUGAGCUGCGGACUUCCCCCUACCAUCUGAGCGCUGUUACCAGCCCGCAGCGCUCCUCCUGCCGACACCGAGCGCCUGUUCUCGCCAUCGCCCCCACACCCGGCGUCAUUAUGGUGCUGCCGUAUGGAGCGCUCCGCGGACGACGUCUUGCUCGCCAGGGCAUGACUGGGGACCUUCUCCAUCCCUCCCGCAGCGGGGACCCUCGAGCAUCCAGGACACCCCGCCGGGGCACGGGGAUCUGCCUUGCUCCAGGGCUUGCAAGCAGCCUCCGAGGCUUCUUGGGGUUACUCCCGUACCCGUGUGUUUGGCCUGAUGCAAGGCAAAAAAGGGCUUUGGGGAUUAAAUCCGGGUUCAGCCCCGUUGGGGUUGGGGAAGGCUCCUCCGGAGGGCAGCUCCAGGCAAAUAAAAGCCAUCCCUGGGGGUUCGUGGUUAACUCUGGUGCUGAGGGAUGUGCAGCACCCACCCAGGCACAGAGCAGGGUCUCAAGUUAUUAAUUACCUGGCCCAAACCCCGCGGCUGCCCCGCCUGAGAAAAGCCAUCACACCCAGCGCAUCCUUCGUAUUAGAGUCCUUUUUAUUUAGCAAAUCUCCAGAGCAUUAAAAUAAAACUCCCAUAAAACAA
Molecule: long non-coding RNA, 1564 nt
Organism: Aquila chrysaetos chrysaetos
Lineage: Eukaryota; Metazoa; Chordata; Aves; Accipitriformes; Accipitridae
Exons: 2
Source: RefSeq, a predicted model, not a curated record